RNAcentral lists this ribosomal RNA (459 nucleotides) under uncultured bacterium. RNAcentral describes it as "partial 16S ribosomal RNA". It matches the Rfam family "Bacterial small subunit ribosomal RNA", at positions 338 to 795 of the family's 1533-position model. The record is from RNAcentral.
CCUACGGGUGGCAGCAGUGAGGAAUAUUGGUCAAUGGGCGGGAGCCUGAACCAGCCAAGUCGCGUGAGGGACGACGGUCCUAUGGAUUGUAAACCUCUUUUGUCGGGGAACAAAGGCGUCCACGGGUGGGCGGAUGAGUGUACCCGAAGAAAAAGCAUCGGCUAACUCCGUGCCAGCAGCCGCGGUAAUACGGAGGAUGCGAGCGUUAUCCGGAUUUAUUGGGUUUAAAGGGUGCGUAGGCGGACAGUCAAGUCAGCGGUAAAAAUGCGGUGCUCAACGCCGUACAGCCGUUGAAACUGGCAGUCUUGAGUGGGCGAGAAGUAUGCGGAAUGCGUGGUGUAGCGGUGAAAUGCAUAGAUAUCACGAAGAACCCCGAUUGCGAAGGCAGCCUGCCGCAGCGUUACUGACGCUGAAGCUCGAAAGCGCGGGUAUCGAACAGGAUUAGAUACCCCAGUAGUC